GGGGCCGUGGUCCAGUUUGGCCUAAGAUUCCUGCCUGGGGCGCAGGAGGUCGCCGGUUCAAAUCCGGCCGGCCCCA
Molecule: transfer RNA, 76 nt
Filed under: Candidatus Bathyarchaeota archaeon
Lineage: Archaea; Thermoproteati; Candidatus Bathyarchaeota
Description: tRNA-Pro
Rfam family: tRNA
About the family: Transfer RNA (tRNA) molecules are approximately 80 nucleotides in length.
Source: RNAcentral